Molecule: ribosomal RNA, 304 nt
Filed under: uncultured Pseudomonadota bacterium
Lineage: Bacteria; Pseudomonadati; Pseudomonadota
Description: bacterial SSU rRNA
Rfam family: Bacterial small subunit ribosomal RNA
Source: RNAcentral
AGUGGGGAAUUUUGCGCAAUGGGGGAAACCCUGACGCAGCAACGCCGCGUGGAGGAUGAAGUCCUUCKGGACGUAAACUCCUUUCGAUCGGGACGAUUAUGACGGUACCGGAAGAAGAAGCCCCGGCUAACUCUGUGCCAGCAGCCGCGGUAAUACAGAGGGUGCAAGCGUUAAUCAGAAUGACUGGGCGUAAAGGGCGUGUAGGUGGUUGACUAGGUUUGAUGUGAAAUCCCCGGGCUUAACCUGGGAAUUGCGUCSAAAACGGGUCGACUCGAGUGAGAUAGAGGGUUGUGGAAUUUCCGGU